Molecule: unclassified non-coding RNA, 905 nt
Filed under: Caenorhabditis elegans
Lineage: Eukaryota; Metazoa; Nematoda; Chromadorea; Rhabditida; Rhabditidae
Description: Non-coding transcript of protein-coding gene fbxa-50
Source: RNAcentral
AUGAUCGAAAUUGGUUCAAAGACACAUCAAAAUUAUGGGAAAUCGCCAACUUUUCUCAAUAUGCCUCUAGAUGUCGCUCAACUUGUUUUGGAAAAGUUGGAGCUCGAGGAUCUCUGGAUGACCAUGAUAUCAAUAUGUAUUUGGACAGAAUUAGAAUCAACUAUACUGAUUCAGCAAAUGGUCAUUCAAAUGUCAAUUACAAUGAACAGAAAAAGGAAACUGAUGAAGAAAACUUUAUGGACAGUGCGGUCAAGGAUUUGAAGAUAGUAUUGAAGCACGCAAGUCGAGCUAGAAUUAUGAACUGUACAAAAAAUAUACGCGACACUGUUACAACUUUCGUUGAGUUUUUUAAAUCAGAAAAAUGUAUUCACGUAAAGAGAAUAGAACUUGAUAAGUUCUCAUUGGAUGAAGUGCUUACGAUUCUUCCAUUAUUUGAUUCUAAAGAGCUUAAAGCGAUUGAUUUGAAAUCGAUUGCAAUUGACCAAUUCGAACGAAUAUCCUGCUUGGAGCAAUGGAAAAAUGCAGAAAUAUGCACAAUUCGCUAUAGUAUUUUCGGUGCAAAGAUUGCUCAUUUCUUUCAUUUCAAAAGCUUCUAUAUUUACACAUUGGACAAAUUUAAAGCAAUACAAACCGCGAUACAAAUUCGAGACGUAAAAUAACCUUAUUUUUCAUUUCAUUAUCUUUUUUUGCAGGAUCUUUUGAGAAGAAGUACAUUUCAAUGGUGCGUGAUACGUUUUUUAAGACCAAACGCAAAUCCGAUUGAAAUUGCUAAAGUCUUCAAACCGGACUAUGCCGGCGGUAAGGACUUUAAGAUUGAAUAUUCAAAUGGCACCGACAAAUUCGAUAUUUCUCUUGAAUGGGAGUGGCUUGUAAAGUAUUUUGAAUUGAAUGUGAAAAGAUUGUAA